Long non-coding RNA from Pezoporus occidentalis (night parrot), 1683 nucleotides. RefSeq lists it as uncharacterized. NCBI's taxonomy places the organism in Eukaryota, Metazoa, Chordata, Aves, Psittaciformes, Psittacidae. The record is from RefSeq and is a predicted model, not a curated record. The transcript has 2 exons.
GCGUGGCGGCCGCCGGGCAGGGCUGCCGUGGGGCGGGGCUGGGGCCGCGCUGCCCGCCCCUCCCCCGGUGCCCGUGACUGUGGGUGAUUACGGGGGCGCCCGGCCGAGGCCCCGCAGCACCGCGCUGCCCGCCCUUUUCCCCGCUCGUCCCGGGCGCCUCGCGGGCUGUUAACGGCUCCGCUGCCGCGCACGGGGGGCGGGCGUGCGGAUCUGGGGAGUAACAGUGGCUGGAGAGCACGGACCGCUGGGGGUUCAAGGGUGCCGCCUCGAGGGCAGCCGUAGUCUCAGGAACGUGCCCUUGCAGUGCAGGCGCUGCCAUCCCUCCAGCAGCACAUUUCAUUCGUGCCCGAAUAUUUCGUGCAGGUAUAUUUCAAGCAGGAAUAUGACAUUCUUCUUGUGAUCGCUUUUUUGAAGCUGCUGUGGCUUUUUCGUGUCGCUGAUGAGUCCUCCAAACUAAAAUCUUCUGAGAAGAGACAAAGUUCUUUUUCAAAGGGAGUUAUAUCAGGGUGCCUUUCUCGAAAAUGACAAGCACCGCCAGGAAAUGAUGUUUACCAGGGUUAAGCACUCAUCUUCCUGUUGCACCUAAGUUUUGUAGUGCCACAUACAGAAGAGUUUAAAGAGAGCUUGUUCUGGCUGAACUGCCUUGGAAGAACAGUGUGGAACCACACUUGGCAUUUCCUCAUAUUGAUCAGCUGAUCACCAGCGUAAGGUUAUCUUCUAACGACUCAUGGAAGAGUUGACUCUUACUGCUACCAUCAGUAGAAGAAGAAAUAAAGUGCAGGCUUAACUGUUCAUUUCCUUUGUGUGAACAUAAGCUUAGAAUGGAGGACCACAGUGGUCUGCAGCAGUCUGAAGAAUUCUGAUUUACGAUCAACUUCAUUGCAAAAAUCAGGAAGAUAAUGGUUUUUGCACAGGAGAAGAAAUCUAGUAACAGCCUGGUGUCACCCUUGGAUCCAUGUCCUGUGGCUUUGCUCUCUUUCUUGACUGGUAGUGGUUACAUGUGCAGUGAACAGUCUGGUCCCUGAAGACAAUGGAUGAAACUGACUCAUGUUCUUGGUGCUGUCACUGAUUAGUGAAAUUCUCAUAUCCAUCUGCAGGAAACAAACUUUUUUAUAGAUUGGAAGACCAUACGGCAGAGCUCUCUCAGCAGCUUGUGUUUGCCUGCAGAACACCAGAAAGCUGUUCAUAAGAAGUUAAUGUUUGUGCUGCAGAAGAAGCUGAUGUAUUGCUGCCCCUAAGUACCAAAUACUAAAGCUACUUCAUGUUGCCACCAUACUUCCUGUUCUGCUUGUUCUGCUGGUCUCUUUCCAGUGUGCCACAUGUCUGCAUUGUCUAACUACAUUACAAAAUUUUUAGGAGGAGGUGGAAGCUAAUGAGUAUGAACAAGCCAGAGCCAGGGCUUUUGGUGCAUCAUGAGUGAAGAGCCUCUUCAGAUACGGGAAUAAGCAUAAGACAAAUGCUUCACUAAGAAUGAGAGUGGAAAAACUUGAGUCAUUAUAAAAGCAAAAAAACCCCAAACCACUCAAACCAACCCAUGACAAAUAAACACCCUCCCCUACUCCCUCAAGAAAAAAAUGAGAAAAAAACCACAAACCACACAAAACCAACCUAUGAGCAGCAUAGGGCUUUUGAUUAUGGAGACUCCCGUCUUUUGGACUGCUCUCUCUUGCUAGGAAAGCCUUA